Molecule: ribosomal RNA, 125 nt
Filed under: Bacillus paranthracis
Lineage: Bacteria; Bacillati; Bacillota; Bacilli; Caryophanales; Bacillaceae
Description: partial 23S ribosomal RNA
Rfam family: Bacterial large subunit ribosomal RNA
Source: RNAcentral
UUUGGUUAAGUUAGAAAGGGCGCACGGUGGAUGCCUUGACACUAGGAGUCGAUGAAGGACGGGACUAACGCCGAUAUGCUUCGGGGAGCUGUAAGUAAGCUUUGAUCCGAAGAUUUCCGAAUGGG